RNAcentral lists this ribosomal RNA (252 nucleotides) under uncultured bacterium. RNAcentral describes it as "partial 16S ribosomal RNA". It matches the Rfam family "Bacterial small subunit ribosomal RNA", at positions 524 to 776 of the family's 1533-position model. The record is from RNAcentral.
UACGUAGGGGGCUAGCGUUAUCCGGAAUUACUGGGCGUAAAGGGUGCGUAGGUGGUUUUAUAAGUCAGAGGUGAAAGGCUACGGCUCAACCGUAGUAAGCCUUUGAAACUAUAAAACUUGAGUGCAGGAGAGGAAAGUAGAAUUCCCAGUGUAGCGGUGAAAUGCGUAGAUAUUGGGAGGAAUACCAGUUGCGAAGGCGGCUUUCUGGACUGUAACUGACACUGAGGCACGAAAGCGUGGGGAGCAAACAGG